UUUUUUUUUUUUUUUUUUUUGGGGGGGAACCCCCGCGCAUCCUAAUGCGAGACAUGAAAUUAUACGAGCUCCAAAGUAAUUAAAAACAAAAUGAAAACAUGUUAGUUCUGUUGAUACCACUCUUAUCAAACAGAUUCAGAUUAUUUUCCAACUCAUUACCAGGAUCAAAUCCAUACAGACACCAAACAAGUCAAACAAGAACAAAGAAGAAGAUCACUGCUUUCCUCACAAUUCAAGGAAAGAAACCCCAUGCAUAAAUCAAGCAGCCAUUGGAUGGUUAUAAACAUACUCAAUGGCAAGAUUACAGGAGUCAAUCUUAACUGC
RNAcentral lists this unclassified non-coding RNA (324 nucleotides) under Hevea brasiliensis (rubber tree). Lineage: Eukaryota; Viridiplantae; Streptophyta; Magnoliopsida; Malpighiales; Euphorbiaceae. The record is from RNAcentral.